Molecule: RNA transcript, 3275 nt
Organism: Homo sapiens (human)
Lineage: Eukaryota; Metazoa; Chordata; Mammalia; Primates; Hominidae
Gene: STOM
Gene name: stomatin
Exons: 8
Source: RefSeq, marked reviewed
GCAUUCCCGGCGGCUCCGGGUUUGGCAACGAGGACGGGGGAGUGCGACUGCGUCUCGGGCAGCAUGGCCGAGAAGCGGCACACACGGGACUCCGAAGCCCAGCGGCUCCCCGACUCCUUCAAGGAAACUUGAACUCCAAGCAUUUGGCCUCACAUUUCAGAAGAUUAUCCUUGAAGAUACAACCAAUAAAGUCCUAAAGUCUCAGACAAUGAAAACUAUACUGAACUUGUGGUCCAGUUAAAGUGAGCACUAUGACAGCCCCAGUAAGGGCCUUGGACCUUGCGGAUGGAUUUUGGUGGCGUUCUCAUUCUUAUUCACCGUUAUAACUUUCCCAAUCUCAAUAUGGAUGUGCAUAAAGAUUAUAAAAGAGUAUGAAAGAGCCAUCAUCUUUAGAUUGGGUCGCAUUUUACAAGGAGGAGCCAAAGGACCUGGUUUGUUUUUUAUUCUGCCAUGCACUGACAGCUUCAUCAAAGUGGACAUGAGAACUAUUUCAUUUGAUAUUCCUCCUCAGGAGAUCCUCACAAAGGAUUCAGUGACAAUUAGCGUGGAUGGUGUGGUCUAUUACCGCGUUCAGAAUGCAACCCUGGCUGUGGCAAAUAUCACCAACGCUGACUCAGCAACCCGUCUUUUGGCACAAACUACUCUGAGGAAUGUUCUGGGCACCAAGAAUCUUUCUCAGAUCCUCUCUGACAGAGAAGAAAUUGCACACAACAUGCAGUCUACUCUGGAUGAUGCCACUGAUGCCUGGGGAAUAAAGGUGGAGCGUGUGGAAAUUAAGGAUGUGAAACUACCUGUGCAGCUCCAGAGAGCUAUGGCUGCAGAAGCAGAAGCGUCCCGCGAGGCCCGCGCCAAGGUUAUUGCAGCCGAAGGAGAAAUGAAUGCAUCCAGGGCUCUGAAAGAAGCCUCCAUGGUCAUCACUGAAUCUCCUGCAGCCCUUCAGCUCCGAUACCUGCAGACACUGACCACCAUUGCUGCUGAGAAAAACUCAACAAUUGUCUUCCCUCUGCCCAUAGAUAUGCUGCAAGGAAUCAUAGGGGCAAAACACAGCCAUCUAGGCUAGUGUAGAGAUGAGCGCUAGCCUUCCAAGCAUGAAGUCGGGGACCAAAUUAGCCUUUAACUCAUAAAGAGAGGGUAGGGCUUUUCUUUUUCCAUAUGUCAAUUGUGGUGUUCCCAGAAUGUAUAGCAGUUAUAAAAAUAGGUGAAAGAAUUGUUAGCUUGUAAAUACUGAGAGAUUGGUGAUUUAUAUAAGGUAAUCUGUUAGUCUUAAAAUAGUUAAAAGUUUGUAUUUUUAGAUUAUUAUGUAGUAGGUUAGAUCCCUCUUGUUUUGACUUCCACUGACUCAUUCUGAACCCCCUAAGCACCCAGGCCAGAGGCAAGAACCUGGGCUGUAACUGCCACCUGACACCGCUGACUGGCUAAAUGCUUUGCAGAAAGUGAUGACCUUACACCACAACCAGCUUCUCCAGGUCAUAUGUGCCUUACCUCCAGAGAGUCUUUUUUUUUUUUUUUCUGAGAUGGAGUUUCACUCUUGUUGCCCAGGCUGGAGUGCAAUAGCAUGAUCUCGGCUCACUGCAACCUCCGCCUCCUGGGUUCAAGAGAUUCUCCUGCCUCAGCCUCCCCAGUAGCUGGGAUUACAGGCUCAUGCCACCAUGCCCAGCUAAUUUUUGUAUUAUUAUUAUUGUUUUUUAGUAGAGACGGGGUUUCACCAUGUUGGCCAGGCUAGUCACGAACUCCUAACCUCAGGUGAUCCACCCACCUCUGCCUCCCAAAGUGCUGGGAUUACAGGCAUGAGCUACCACACCUGGUUUGGAGAGUCUUAAUUAAGGAAAUUUCCCUAAUGUUCAUUUAUUUUCUAAAUCCAGACCGUGUUUCAGAAUAAUCCUUACUUGAGAGUAGCCAUUUUCUUGCCUGUACUUGUCAGAACUAGAGGAAAUAGCCAAGACUAAUGAAAAAGAUUACUCUAACCCUUAAAAGACUUUUAAAUUCACUACUAGAGUGGUCAUUUUAAAAAUACAUCCAUGUUUUAACUUAUUUGAGCCUUCUUUAUGAGUAAAUGAUUCCUCCUUGUUCUGUCUUUCAAACCAGCUAAAUAUUUGUCACAAAAGUGCUUUUUUCUCACUGUUGCCUAUUUUCAUAUAUCAGGUUUUAAAUAGUUUUAAUUUUUUAAUAAAAUUUUCUCUACGUUCUAUAUGCAAUUGUUAUAUAUCUAUUUGAAUAGCUGAAGGACUAAAAUACUUUUUUAAGAGAUAACUUCAGGAAACCAUUAUAUUUUACUAUCUGCAUGCUGUUAACUGUGGUACACUGUGAAAUAUGUUGAUUACAAACCCAUUCAUUACAUAGUAUAAGGAAUUCACAGUAUAUUGACUAUAUAGUGUCUAAUGAUCUUGGGCAGAUACUGUCAAACUUACAAUAUCUAUAUAGAUGUAGGUCUUUUUAAAUUUACCUAGUCAUUCUUCUAUCAUGUAUAUUGAUGCUGAAAGAGGAACUGGUCAGCUCCUCUGGACAACAAAUUCUUAGUCUAUAAUAUUAGGAGACAUCUUCUGUUUUGCAAAUGUCUGUGAAUCUGAGCAACCUGGCAUUCUGCUUACUGGCCAGAAAGCUGGCGGGUGACAUUUGUAACAUUUCCUCUUUGAGACUCUGAGUUCACCUAGAGAAGUCUAAGCAUAACAGCUUUCUUUCCCAGCACGAGCCUUUAUAGCUCUCUUUAGCUCAACCACUCUGUCCAUCCAGCCAAUGGAUGUCCCUUCCCCUGUACCCCAAUUUCAAGCUUAUUUUAGGAAGCCUUGAACUACCAUGUAUCCUGGCUCCUAGCUGAGUUUAUUAGAGGUAUGGAGCAGUGCAACUUAAACUCAAGUUGCACUUACAUUUUGAAUUUUAAAAUGAUGGUUUUAUCUGUUGUGUGAAGUGGUUCACCCUUGAGGACCAGGAGCCUCCAUAUCCUGACUGAAAACCUUUUCUGAGACUUAGAGUAACAGUGCUUUUGGUUCCUUGAGUUCUCCUGUCUCCAGAUACCAAAUGACCUUGACUUUUCUGCCUUGUGAAUUCGUAGUCCAAUCAGCUGAAAUUAAAUCACUUGGGAGGGACGCAUAGAAGGAGCUCUAGGAACACAGUGCCAGUGCAGAAGUUUCUCCAGGUGGCCUCCCUUUCCAACAAUGUACAUAAUAAAGUGUAUGCACUUUCACUAAUAUUUUUGGGGUGAGAGUCUGUUUCGGCCUGUAUUGAAUGUCUGUGGAUUUCCGUUUUCAGAAGUAGUACAUUAGAUCCUCCGGUUCUGA